CGGUGGAUGAUGUGGUUUAAUUCGAUGCAACGCGAAAACCUUACCACCUUGUACAUGUACGGAAUCCUUUAGAGAUAGAGGAGUGCUCGAAAGAGAGCCGUAACACAGGUGCUGCAUGGCUGUCGUCAGCUCGUGUCGUGAGAUGUUGGGUUAAGUCCCGCAACGAGCGCAACCCUUGUCAUUAGUUGCUACAUUCAGUUGGGCACUCUAAUGAGACUGCCGGUGACAAACCGGAGGAAGGUGGGGAUGACGUCAAGUCCUCAUGGCCCUUAUAGGUGGGGCUACACACGUCAUACAAUGGAUGGUACAAAGGGUCGCCAACCCGCGAGGGGGAGCCAAUCCCAUAAAGCCAUUCGUAGUCCGGAUCGCAGUCUGCAACUCGACUGCGUGAAGUCGGGAUCGCUAGUAAUCGUGGAUCAGAAUGUCACGGUGAAUACGUUCCCGGGUCUU
This 450-nucleotide ribosomal RNA is filed under the name uncultured Acidovorax sp. Its description in RNAcentral is "bacterial SSU rRNA". It matches the Rfam family "Bacterial small subunit ribosomal RNA", at positions 930 to 1382 of the family's 1533-position model. The record is from RNAcentral. Lineage: Bacteria; Pseudomonadati; Pseudomonadota; Betaproteobacteria; Burkholderiales; Comamonadaceae.